UGGGUGAUUAGCUCAGCUGGGAGAGCACCUCCCUUACAAGGAGGGGGUCGGCGGUUCGAUCCCGUCAUCACCCACCAA
Molecule: transfer RNA, 78 nt
Filed under: Edwardsiella ictaluri 93-146
Lineage: Bacteria; Pseudomonadati; Pseudomonadota; Gammaproteobacteria; Enterobacterales; Hafniaceae
Description: tRNA-Val
Rfam family: tRNA
About the family: Transfer RNA (tRNA) molecules are approximately 80 nucleotides in length. Their secondary structure includes four short double-helical elements and three loops (D, anti-codon, and T loops).
Source: RNAcentral